Long non-coding RNA from Rhagoletis pomonella (apple maggot), 183 nucleotides. RefSeq lists it as uncharacterized. The record is from RefSeq and is a predicted model, not a curated record. Lineage: Eukaryota; Metazoa; Arthropoda; Insecta; Diptera; Tephritidae. The transcript has 2 exons.
UAAUAUCUACAAAGUGAUCGUGCAAAAACGUCGCAAUGGACGCAGAUGGUAAUUUAAUGAUGGCUUCCUCAGCUAGCAACGAUCCCAAUACAUCCAGAAUCCGAGGCCCAGUUGAGAAAUUUAUAACCAGUUAUGAAGUAUUAAAGUAAAUGUGCGAUAUGUACAUACGCACAUAUGUAGUUA